Long non-coding RNA from Bactrocera neohumeralis, 399 nucleotides. RefSeq lists it as uncharacterized. NCBI's taxonomy places the organism in Eukaryota, Metazoa, Arthropoda, Insecta, Diptera, Tephritidae. The transcript is spliced from 3 exons. The record is from RefSeq and is a predicted model, not a curated record.
CAACGAAUCAACGUUGUCUAUUUCUCCACGUAUCCUAUUAGGAACCGCUAUAAUGGGUGUUGCUAAAUUUGUUUCGUUUCUGUGUUUGGCACUCGUGACACAACAGUUUUUAGGAAACUAUGCGGAUGCGUUCGAAAUUGGUGGAUCUAUAUACGGUGGUAUCCGUUUAGGACUGCGAUCAUCAAUAUUAAGUGCUUUAGCUCAUCGCGUAAGCUGCUUGAGAAGAUAUACGUUAGUGUGUGGUUUCAUUUUCCAACCGCGUUGCUGCCAUACUAACGUGUGUUGUUAAUACUUUUAUUGAUUUCUAAUAUCUUGUCUUACAUGAACAAUAAAUGUCAAAAGUGCUAACAAAUAUGAAAAUUAAUCUCAAUAUACACCAUCCAUACAAAAGAGGAAACA